GACGAACGCUGGCGGCGUGCCUAAUACAUGCAAGUAGAACGCUGAAGGAGGAGCUUGCUUCUCUGGAUGAGUUGCGAACGGGUGAGUAACGCGUAGGUAACCUGCCUGGUAGCGGGGGAUGACUAUUGGAAACGAUAGCUAAUACCGCAUAAGAGUAGAUGUUGCAUGACAUUUACUUAAAAGGUGCAAUUGCAUCACUACCAGAUGGACCUGCGUUGUAUUAGCUAGUUGGUGAGGUAACGGCUCACCAAGGCAACGAUACAUAGCCGACCUGAGAGGGUGAUCGGCCACACUGGGACUGAGACACGGCCCAGACUCCUACGGGAGGCAGCAGUAGGGAAUCUUCGGCAAUGGACGGAAGUCUGACCGAGCAACGCCGCGUGAGUGAAGAAGGUUUUCGGAUCGUAAAGCUCUGUUGUAAGAGAAGAACGAGUGUGAGAGUGGAAAGUUCACACUGUGACGGUAUCUUACCAGAAAGGGACGGCUAACUACGUG
RNAcentral lists this ribosomal RNA (495 nucleotides) under uncultured bacterium. RNAcentral describes it as "partial 16S ribosomal RNA". It matches the Rfam family "Bacterial small subunit ribosomal RNA", at positions 28 to 507 of the family's 1533-position model. The record is from RNAcentral.